UGCAGGACUUGCUCUUACCGCCAGGCUCCCUGUGCCCCGCGAUUCCUUCCGCAGCAAAGACCACCACUCUCGGAGCACGGCUUCUAAGGCCGCAGAUCAGGAACUUGGAUAUUCUUACUCAAAGGCGCAGCCUUUACUGUGCAGCAGUGCACCUUCAACAUCUGGAAAAUGCUGGAAGUUACAGAUGUUUAAUUGCCAAAAUAUAAAAAGUUGGCAAGGAGUCAUUUGGUGUCCAUUCUCUUGCUGGACGAUUCUGGAUGGAGCCGACAGAUACAAGGAGUCAUCACUAAAAAUGUCAGGAAGGUGGUGCUCUAAGUGAAUUCAGGUGAGUCCUUGAAAGAAAAAAACCAGGAUUGAAAGAAAACAUUUAUUGAAUCAAAAUCAAUACUUUCUUUUUUAAUAUCUACAAGCCAACAAUGAAUUCACUUCAUUCAAGAAUGAACACAAAUGUACAAAAAAAGUAUGCUUAUAUUAUAAAAAUAUGUCAAUUUUAUCUCCUGGGUGCUGAGCAGAAGUCAUUUUAAACAAAAUCAAGGCCAACUUGUUCCCUAUAACGAAACCUCUCCAAUUUCCUAACCGAAGUGAAAGCGGAUGUAGAGCCCGCUGAUGCUGCUGCCCCACUCAGAGGCGGACGCUGGCCCCCCGGCUCUCAGGCACCACUACCUGCCUGCACAGGAAGGCACCUCUUCCACCCAACACAUCACUGCUAGCACAGUCUUCCUGCGGCUUCUCUUGCUUAACAGUUGUUAGCAUCUAUUUCAGCAAAGUAGUAACAGGAUAAAGAAUUCUGAGCACAAAAAUCCUACUUAUUUAAUCAGCUUCAAUUUAAAAAUGAGAUCCACUGCUAUGGACAACAAACGACCUCUCAAGAUUUUACAAUCCCAUUUAUGAAGGUGGGAAAGCUGCUGCCCUCCACUCUCAAACAUCUUUAAAGCCUCCAUAGGAAAAAUGUAUGACCAGGGUUAGCAUCUCCGUCACGCCACUCACCGGCACCUUUGCAGCACCUGGCCUGGGCUGUGCGGCGAAGGCCCGCGCGCUCCUGCUCCCGUGGAGCACAGUUCGCGUGCUCUAGUGAUGGGGAGACAUGAAUACCGAAGUCCUCAAGAGCUGAGGCAGAGGGACAGUGGCUCCUGGAUGCUGUUCCAGGAGUUAUGUGACAAUACAGAACACUGCUCUCCCCAUGCUGACAAAGCCAAGGAAACCCCGUCCGUGCACGGCGGUGUCCUGGAGGAGGAGUGGCAAGGGCACGCAGGCGAAUCCUGGAACGCAGCAUCCAUAGUGAAGUAAAGACAACAGAUGGAUUAAAGGGUAAAUUACUCAACUGCCUCUCUCUGCUUGGCAUGGACACAUCUGAAGGCCCAAAACUGCAAGAUACAAGGAUCUCCUCCUGGUUCACCACUCUGCUGGGUAAAUAAAGCAACUUCAGAAAUGCUUUGUUUUACAUAAACCAAAGGUUUCUUAAAUUACCUGGGACUAAGCUUUUCCCUGGGAAAGGGGCUAAAUGAAGGCAGAAGAGAAAACUAUCGUGUUCCUCUAUGCAAACACUAAUCCCUUAUAGCUCUCUAAGUUUUCCAUUAAGCGCCAUUUCCUGCAUGAAAUGUUAACCCUACCAAAGGUAGAUAGGCCUGAACUGGACAUAGGAUUUAAACAUUUAAUACUACACUGACUCUGGCUUAAUUUAACCCUAUGCUCUACUACAUGACAGAAGCAUUUAUAGAAAUAUUUGAAAUACACAAAAUUUGUGAAAGAUAAACAUUUUGGAACCUGAGCAAAGGCUUCUUACCAAUACCAUAAAAAGUCACCGUACUGGUCGUUCUCACAGGCAGCGAUUCAGCCAGGUCAGUGUGCUGCUUUUGGCAACUUAGCCAAACUGAAGCCCAAUACACUGCUGCCAGAAACAACUGGAUACCAGCACAUUACACAGAAGACAUAGAAAGGGAACAAGAGCCCAAAGAAUGAACAGCUGGCAGGAUGAAGGCGCUGCUCAGAGUUGCCGGGAUGGGUCUCCCCACAACAUACCUGUUCACUACCACACGUCCUAGCCCUCAAAGUACAUGUGCUGCACACUUACACCGAAGGCAUGCCUUGGGGAUGCCAGCCUUUCUCUUACUGCAGUUCUAGUCAGACAGACCAAAAAGUCAAGACGUCUGGAAAUAAGCUACCAAGUUAGCUUUCUCUGUGGACGACUGACACGACUUGGUGCCACAGCAAAACUCUCUAAUAGCAGCAGUACCAGCCCGUGGCAGAAGAGAAACACUCAUUUCUCACAUCCCAUGGGCCACCACAUCAACUCCAUCAAGCAUGCAAAUAUCUAUUCUGCUGAAGUUUCAAACAAAUAUAAACGAUCAUUGUGCUUGUGGGUCUCAUACCUUCCCAAGGUGGCAAGUUAACUUAGCAGUAAAAUCACAGGGCGGAAAUGAAACGUCUACGAUGGGAAAACUGCGGGCUGGUGCCGGCAGUCCCAGAACAUAUCAUGCUCAGUAGGGUCAGACCCUCCCGCCCGCGCCCUGGGCACUGCAGUCCUGUCUCGAGUGCCCACAGCGUGGUCUCAGGGCAGAGCAGCAGCAUCACUGGCGUGGUCGCAGGGGUGGGCAAGGUGCCCGUCAACUUCUUUUGUAGUUAAGGACGAAAGAAUGCAAUCACAAGACAAAGUGACAGAGUAGUGGGCAGAGAAAAUAUCGAAGUUCACAAUGACCUGUAAAAGCAAAACAAGAAUUCAAAUUAUUUUCACACUUUCAGGCUUUAUCUUUCUUAAAAGCAGUCUGUGUUUAAGUGCUAACCCUGCAAUCACUUCAGUGUGCAUGAGACUGUUUGAUGCCUGUAGUUAAAGGAUCAACCUCACUCCUUGUUUCAAAGAUGCACGCAAGUGUAUCCUGUCAUAAGACUCGGGCGAAAGUCUCCCCUCCACCCC
Heterocephalus glaber (naked mole-rat) is the source of this 2911-nucleotide long non-coding RNA. Lineage: Eukaryota; Metazoa; Chordata; Mammalia; Rodentia; Bathyergidae. The record is from Ensembl.